RNAcentral lists this ribosomal RNA (451 nucleotides) under uncultured bacterium. RNAcentral describes it as "bacterial SSU rRNA". It matches the Rfam family "Bacterial small subunit ribosomal RNA", at positions 96 to 524 of the family's 1533-position model. The record is from RNAcentral.
CGGCGCACGGGUGAGUAACGCGUGGGUAAUCUGCCCUAAGGUCUGGGAUAACCCCGGGAAACCGGUGCUAAUACCGGAUAAGACCACGAUGACUUCGGUCGACGUGGGAAAAGGUGGCCUCUUCUUGAAAGCUAUCGCCAAAGGAUGAGCCCGCGUUUGAUUAGCUUGUUGGUGAGGUAACGGCUCACCAAGGCUCCGAUCAAUAGCUGGUCUGAGAGGAUGAUCAGCCACACUGGAACUGAGACACGGUCCAGACUCCUACGGGAGGCAGCAGUCGGGAAUAUUGGGCAAUGGGCGAAAGCCUGACCCAGCAACGCCGCGUGAAGGAUGAAGGCCUUCGGGUCGUAAACUUCUGUCGAGAGGGAAGAACGCGUGCGGGUGAAUAAUCCGUACGUCUGACGGUACCUCCAAAGGAAGCACCGGCUAACUCCGUGCCAGCAGCCGCGGUAAU